RNAcentral lists this ribosomal RNA (301 nucleotides) under uncultured bacterium. RNAcentral's name for it is "partial 16S ribosomal RNA". It matches the Rfam family "Bacterial small subunit ribosomal RNA", at positions 509 to 807 of the family's 1533-position model. The record is from RNAcentral.
CAGCCGCCGCGGGAAUACGUAGGGUGCAAGCGUUAAUUGGAAUUACUGGGCGUAAAGCGUGCGCAGGCGGUUAUAUAAGACAGAUGUGAAAUCCCCGGGCUCAACCUGGGAACUGCAUUUGUGACUGUAUAGCUAGAGUACGGCAGAGGGGGAUGGAAUCCCGCGUGUAGCAGUGAAAUGCGUAGAUAUGCGGAGGAACACCGAUGGCGAAGGCAAUCCCCUGGGCCUGUACUGACGCUCAUGCACGAAAGCGUGGGGAGCAAACAGGAUUAGAUACCCCCGUAGUCCCUGUCUCUUAUAC